CCAGCUUUCUAAGACGUACCGUUUUCCUAAUUACACUUUCCCAGAGGCAAACCCAGAUGGAUGUCAGAACGAAAAUAAACGGAAUGUGGCUCAACUGAGUGCAACUCUAAUGACUAACACAGAGGAAGUUGGCUUGGAUUUAAAUUUACUGAAGUAUGUAGCAAAAAAGAAAAUCAUUUCAUCUUACCUGUGUAACUAGAGGUACAGUGGAUUACAUUUCCUUUCAAAGUAGCACUCCUUCAAAACCAUCUGGCUUCCGAAGUAUUUAAUACCCAUCCAGUGAGAUAAUUAGUAUGCAAGACGUGUCAUCAGAGUUGAAGAAUGGAAAAUAAAAUGUACAUAACAGGCUCAGGCUUAAUCGCUAAUAAAAGUGAAGAUAAUCAGUGUAACUCUAAAGUAUCAUUAACAACCUGAACAGGAGCACACAUAGAUGUGAAACAAAGUCUAAUACAAGGAAAGCAUUUUGAUAUCAGCCACUUGCCAUUAUGCAAGCAAUUAGCGCUCCACCACAGCGAGCUAGAAGGGAGGAAAGCUUCCAGCUAAUUCCACAUGCAAAUCCCUCCUGUAGAAGGGUUUAGGACGUUUAUGCUGAAGCCUAGCUGGGACCUGUCUGAAAUCACUUUUCGCUAAUUCCAACAGAAAUUACCAUGUGAUAAAAUGCCUGGCUUCCCAGGUACCUCCUCAGUGGCCGAGGUGGGCUGAGCUGAACAGGCCCCUGUGACUUUCC
RNAcentral lists this long non-coding RNA (727 nucleotides) under Canis lupus familiaris (dog). RNAcentral describes it as "lncRNA (ENSCAFG00845024293.1)". Lineage: Eukaryota; Metazoa; Chordata; Mammalia; Carnivora; Canidae. The record is from RNAcentral.